This 436-nucleotide ribosomal RNA is filed under the name uncultured bacterium. Its description in RNAcentral is "bacterial SSU rRNA". It matches the Rfam family "Bacterial small subunit ribosomal RNA", at positions 340 to 789 of the family's 1533-position model. The record is from RNAcentral.
UACGGGAGGCAGCAGUGGGGAAUCUUGCGCAAUGGGCGAAAGCCUGACGCAGCCAUGCCGCGUGAAUGAUGAAGGUCUUAGGAUUGUAAAAUUCUUUCACCGGGGACGAUAAUGACGGUACCCGGAGAAGAAGCCCCGGCUAACUUCGUGCCAGCAGCCGCGGUAAUACGAAGGGGGCUAGCGUUGCUCGGAAUUACUGGGCGUAAAGGGCGCGUAGGCGGAUCGUUAAGUCAGAGGUGAAAUCCCAGGGCUCAACCCUGGAACUGCCUUUUGAUACUGGCGAUCUUGAGUAUGAGAGAGGUAUGUGGAACUCCGAGUGUAGAGGUGAAAUUCGUAGAUAUUCGGAAGAACACCAGUGGCGAAGGCGACAUACUGGCUCAUUACUGACGCUGAGGGCGCGAAAGCGUGGGGAGCGAAACAGGGAUUAGAUACCCGU